CUUGAGACAGGUGGGACAUGUCAUUUCUCACAUGAGGUCCCGGCGAGAAGGACCUGCUUCCAUCAGAUUCACACUUGGGAGAGGGGCCCGGCCUCCAGGAGCGCCAGGCAGAAAGGGCACCCAUUAGGAAGAAGAACACAGAGGCCAUGGGAGUGAAAAGUUUGAUGCUGGAAAGCAACAGUAGCACAUUCUGCUACAGAGCGGAAUGAAAAACCCUGGGGAGCAAAUUCCUGAGCCAGAGAAUGGAGCGGAGGAACCAGCCAAGGAGGAUAAAGAGACUUAGCCUAGAAAAUAAUGAAGAAGGACAGAAAGAGAAUACCAUUCUACUACACCCGCUGAUGACUUAAAAAAACUACCUGCUGUCAUCAGGGGUUGGUUGGUUGAGCCUUUCCCUGUGCUUGCCUGGCAGACCUGCGUGCUCUGAGGCUGCCCGACCCUGAGCUCCAGAACAGACCAUCGAGUUCAGGAGACAAGCAUGUCAGCCAUGACACAAGGCAGAUGAGAGGGACCCCCAGCGUCCACACGUGGAGGCAGCGGGGGCAGCCGUGACUUCCUUCUGCAGUGUUGAUUCAGCUCCCUUUGAAGGCGGAUCCAUACAAACAGGCUGACCAUCAGGGCUGGUCCCAGGCCACCAGGCUGGGUGCAAUGCAGAAAUGGAGAUCUGCCCCGGGGAAGGCAGGUGAGUGUAGGAAGGAGGGAGGGCUGCGAGAAGCUGGGGGCAGCCUCCAUCCCCCUGUGGCCUGGGUGGGCCUGUGCCCCCCCAACCCCCCGACGCAGCUUCCCACACUGGGAGCACAGUUCCUCCCUCCUCUGCCUUCCUCUGCGUGGUGUGGCUCCUCCUUGAGGGAGAGAGCUGAGGAGGUGGCAUUCUUGCUUCCCUGACUCACCCAAAGGAAGAUUUCACAGCCCCUGGCAAGGGCUGCCAGACAGGCUCACCUGUCACCCCCUGUCCAGGGACAGACUGACCGGUAGCCUUGGCUGGGUGGGGAGUUAUGCUGGGAAGUCUUCCAGGCCCCCUGGGGGUGGGAAGAUGCUCAAUGUUCAAAGGAGAUGGAACGAGGAAAACAGUUAAGCAACGAUGGACUCCAGGGGGAAAACCGGAGAAGAAGAAACUGUAAUUCCAGUCCGUCCACAUGGCCCAGCAGUGAACGACAAUUGCAUGGUCAGAGAGAGCAAAAGCACCACGCCGACUGAAAGCAGCUCGAAUGUGGUGGGGCAGUGGGAGAUAAUGCCCUCAUCUACCAAAACAAGAUCUGCCACCUUCGCAGACCACUAAACCUCAUUCCUCCACCCACCUCCCCACCCCCAUGAAGGCCAACUGACCAGAGAGCAGGGCUCCCGAGGGUCGGGUCGGGUCGGGUCGGGUUGGGUCGGGUGGGUGCCUCUUAC
This 1389-nucleotide long non-coding RNA is filed under the name Homo sapiens (human). RNAcentral's name for it is "HSALNT0404574". Lineage: Eukaryota; Metazoa; Chordata; Mammalia; Primates; Hominidae. The record is from RNAcentral.